AGUUGUGGCUCAGUGGUAGAGUGCCUGCCUAGCAUGUGUGAGGCACUGGGUUCAAUCUCCAGCACGAAUA
Molecule: transfer RNA, 70 nt
Filed under: Marmota monax (woodchuck)
Lineage: Eukaryota; Metazoa; Chordata; Mammalia; Rodentia; Sciuridae
Description: tRNA.Ala
Source: RNAcentral